RNAcentral lists this unclassified non-coding RNA (376 nucleotides) under uncultured Actinomycetes bacterium. RNAcentral's name for it is "uncultured actinobacterium contains 16S-23S intergenic spacer region". The record is from RNAcentral. Lineage: Bacteria; Bacillati; Actinomycetota; Actinomycetes.
UCCGAGUUGACCCCGGCAGUCUCCGAUGAGUCCCCGGCAUAACCCGCUGGCAACAUCGGACAAGGGUUGCGCUCGUUGCGGGACUUAACCCAACAUCUCACGACACGAGCUGACGACAGCCAUGCACCACCUGUGCAGGCUCCGAAGAGCGCCCGCUUUCACGGGUUUCACCCUGCAUGUCAAACCCAGGUAAGGUUCUUCGCGUCGCAUCGAAUUAAGCCGCAUGCUCCGCCGCUUGUGCGGGGCCCCGUCAAUUCCUUUGAGUUUUAGCCUUGCGGCCGUACUCCCCAGGCGGGGUGCUUAAUGCGUUAGCUUCGGCACGGACGGGGUCGAUAUCCGCCCACACCAAGUAUGCAUCGGUUAGGGCGUGGACUAC